Molecule: RNA transcript, 3599 nt
Organism: Symphalangus syndactylus (siamang)
Lineage: Eukaryota; Metazoa; Chordata; Mammalia; Primates; Hylobatidae
Gene: COL6A2
Gene name: collagen type VI alpha 2 chain
Source: RefSeq, a predicted model, not a curated record
GGUAUAAAGGGGGCGGCCCCGGCCGCGGUUCCCUCCCUGCUGCUUACUCGGCGUCCGCGCCUCGGGCCGUCGGGACGGAGCCUCCUCGGGACCAGGACUUCAGGGCCACAGGUGCUGCCAAGAUGCUCCAGGGCCCCUGCUCCAUGCUCCUGCUCUGGGGAAUCCUUGGGGCCAUCCAGGCCCAGCAGCAGGAGGUCAUCUCACCGGACACUACGGAGAGAAACAACAACUGCCCAGAGAAGACCGACUGCCCCAUCCAUGUGUACUUCGUGCUGGACACCUCGGAGAGCGUCGCCAUGCAGUCCCCCACGGACAUCCUGCUCUUCCACAUGAAGCAGUUUGUGCCGCAGUUCAUCAGCCAGCUGCAGAACGAGUUCUACCUGGACCAGGUGGCACUGAGCUGGCGCUACGGCGGCCUGCACUUCUCCGACCAGGUGGAGGUGUUCAGCCCACCGGGCAGCGACCGGGCCUCCUUCAUCAAGAACCUGCAGGGCAUCAGCUCCUUCCGCCGCGGCACCUUCACUGACUGCGCGCUGGCCAACAUGACGGAGCAGAUCCGGCAGGACCGCAGCAAGGGCACCGUCCACUUCGCCGUGGUCAUCACCGACGGUCACGUCACCGGCAGCCCCUGCGGGGGCAUCAAGCUGCAGGCCGAGCGGGCCCGCGAGGAGGGCAUCCGGCUCUUCGCUGUGGCCCCCAACCAGAACCUGAAGGAGCAGGGCCUGCGGGACAUCGCCAGCACGCCCCAUGAGCUCUACCGCAACGACUAUGCCACCAUGCUGCCCGACUCCACCGAGAUCGACCAGGACACCAUCAACCGCAUCAUCAAGGUCAUGAAACACGAAGCCUACGGAGAGUGCUACAAGGUGAGCUGCCUGGAAAUCCCUGGGCCCCCUGGCCCCAAGGGCUACCGUGGACAGAAGGGUGCCAAGGGCAACAUGGGUGAGCCGGGAGAGCCUGGCCAGAAGGGAAGACAGGGAGACCCAGGCAUCGAAGGCCCCAUUGGAUUCCCAGGACCCAAGGGUGUUCCUGGCUUCAAAGGAGAGAAGGGUGAAUUUGGAGCCGACGGUCGCAAGGGGGCCCCUGGCCUGGCUGGCAAGAACGGGACUGACGGACGGAAGGGCAAGCUGGGGCGCAUCGGACCUCCUGGCUGCAAGGGAGACCCCGGAAACCGGGGCCCCGACGGUUACCCGGGGGAAGCAGGGAGUCCGGGGGAGCGAGGAGACCAAGGUGGCAAGGGAGACCCUGGCCGCCCAGGACGCAGAGGGCCCCCGGGAGAAAUCGGGGCCAAGGGAAGCAAGGGGUAUCAAGGCAACAACGGAGCCCCAGGAAGUCCUGGCGUGAAAGGAGCCAAGGGCGGGCCCGGGCCCCGCGGACCCAAAGGCGAGCCGGGGCGCAGGGGAGACCCCGGCACCAAGGGCAGCCCAGGCAGUGACGGCCCCAAAGGGGAGAAGGGGGACCCUGGCCCUGAGGGGCCCCGUGGCCUGGCUGGAGAAGUUGGCAACAAAGGAGCCAAGGGAGACCGAGGCUUGCCUGGACCCAGAGGCCCCCAAGGAGCUCUUGGGGAGCCUGGAAAUCAGGGAUCUCGGGGAGACCCCGGUGAUGCAGGACCCCGUGGAGACUCAGGACAGCCAGGCCCCAAGGGAGACCCCGGCAGGCCUGGAUUCAGCUACCCAGGACCCCGAGGAGCACCCGGAGAAAAAGGCGAGCCCGGCCCACGCGGCCCCGAGGGAGGCCGAGGCGACUUUGGCUUGAAAGGAGAACCUGGGAGGAAAGGAGAGAAAGGAGAGCCUGCGGAUCCUGGUCCUCCUGGUGAGCCAGGCCCUCGGGGGCCAAGAGGAGUCCCAGGACCCGAGGGUGAGCCCGGCCCCCCUGGAGACCCCGGCCUCACGGAGUGUGACGUCAUGACCUACGUGAGGGAGACCUGCGGGUGCUGUGACUGCGAGAAGCGCUGUGGUGCCCUGGACGUGGUCUUCGUCAUCGACAGCUCCGAGAGCAUUGGGUACACCAACUUCACGCUGGAGAAGAACUUCGUCAUCAACGUGGUCAACAGGCUGGGCGCCAUCGCUAAGGACCCCAAGUCCGAGACAGGGACGCGCGUGGGCGUGGUGCAGUACAGCCAUGAGGGCACUUUCGAGGCCAUCCAGCUGGACGACGAGCGUAUCGACUCCCUGUCAAGCUUCAAGGAGGCUGUCAAGAACCUUGAGUGGAUUGCGGGCGGCACCUGGACACCCUCGGCCCUCAAGUUUGCCUACGACCGCCUCAUCAAGGAGAGCCGGCGCCAGAAGACACGCGUGUUUGCGGUGGUCAUCACGGACGGGCGCCACGACCCUCGGGACGAUGACCUCAACCUGCGGGCGCUGUGCGACCGUGACGUCACAGUGACGGCCAUCGGCAUCGGGGACAUGUUCCACGAGAAGCACGAGAGUGAGAACCUCUACUCCAUCGCCUGCGACAAGCCGCAGCAGGUGCGCAACAUGACGCUGUUCUCCGACCUGGUCGCCGAGAAGUUCAUCGAUGACAUGGAGGACGUCCUCUGCCCGGACCCUCAGAUCGUGUGCCCAGACCUUCCCUGCCAAACAGAUGCACCGUGGCCUGGCGGCGAGCCCCCGGUCACCUUCCUCCGCACGGAAGAGGGGCCGGACGCCACCUUCCCCAGGACCAUCCCCCUGAUCCAACAGUUGCUAAACGCCACGGAGCUCACGCAGGACCCGGCCGCCUACUCCCAGCUGGUGGCCGUGCUGGUCUACACCGCCGAGCGGGCCAAGUUCGCCACCGGGGUAGAGCGGCAGGACUGGAUGGAGCUGUUCAUUGACACCUUUAAGCUGGUGCACAGGGACAUCGUGGGGGACCCCGAGACCGCGCUGGCCCUCUGCUAAAGCCCGGGUGCCCGCUCAGCCGGGCCGGCCCCUCCCUGCCACACUAGCUUCCCAGGGCUGCCCCCCGCAGGCUGGCUCUCAGUGGAGGCCAGAGAUCUGGAAUUGGGUUCAGCGGAGCCACAGUCCUUCCAGGGGCUCUGGGGCAGCUUCCCGCCUCUUCCCACCCUGGUGGCCACUGUGUCCCUUGCUGCGGCUGCAUCUUCCAGUCUCUCCUCCGUCUUCCUGUGGCCGCUGUUUUUAUAAGGACACCAGUCAUUGAAUUUAAGGCCCACCCCAAGUCCAGAAUGACCUCGCGAGACCCUUAGCUCACUCCCAUCUGCAGAGUCCUGCUUUGCUGUAUCAGGUCACCCUCGCAGGCUCCAGGGUUUGGGCGUGGAAGUCUUUGGAGGCCCUUAGCAGCCCAGCUGGGCUGCCGUGCGUCUGGGAUGGGGCUGAGGAGGGGGUGCUGCCCAAGUGGUGGAGGAUGUUCCAACCCCAGAGGCUGGUGAGCCUUGCUGGGUGUGGGCUCUAAUCCCGUGCAUGGUGACUCGGCGCUCACGGCCCACCUGGUGGCAGGUGAAGGGAAACCUGGCAGUCCUGGCACCAUGACAUAUCUGGGCUGCUGUCAUGCACAUUGGGGUGAAUGGCCACAGCUACCUGCCAGCAGCCCUGGUCCCAGGGUGUCUGCACCUUUCCAGCCCAGCCUCUGGGUCCCCAAAAGCACAGUCGGGGGAGCAUCCA